Molecule: ribosomal RNA, 253 nt
Filed under: uncultured bacterium
Lineage: Bacteria
Description: partial 16S ribosomal RNA
Rfam family: Bacterial small subunit ribosomal RNA
Source: RNAcentral
UACGUAGGGACCAAGCGUUGUUCGGAUUUACUGGGCGUAAAGGGCGCGUAGGCGGGUCUUUAAGUCAGGGGUGAAAUCCUGGAGCUCAACUCCAGAACUGCCUUUGAUACUGAAGAUCUUGAGUUCGGGAGAGGUGAGUGGAACUGCGAGUGUAGAGGUGAAAUUCGUAGAUAUUCGCAAGAACACCAGUGGCGAAGGCGGCUCACUGGCCCGAUACUGACGCUGAGGCACGAAAGCGUGGGGAGCAAACAGG